This is a non-coding RNA of Myotis davidii, 75 nucleotides long. Lineage: Eukaryota; Metazoa; Chordata; Mammalia; Chiroptera; Vespertilionidae. The record is from Rfam.
GGUGGUUCUCAGGUGACACACUCUGGAAUUGGGCUCCCUCCUCUCUGGUUCCAGGUGUGUCACCUGAGAACCGCA